This 21-nucleotide microRNA is filed under the name Lotus japonicus. Its description in RNAcentral is "lja-miR11106-5p". The record is from miRBase by way of RNAcentral. Lineage: Eukaryota; Viridiplantae; Streptophyta; Magnoliopsida; Fabales; Fabaceae.
UUAUCAUAUCCUGUGUUUGAG